CCUGAGGAAUAAGCAUCGGCUAACUCGUGCCAGCAGCCGCGGUAUACGGAGGAUGCAAGCGUUAUCCGGAAUGAUUGGCGUAAAGCGUCCGCAGGUGGCUAUGUAAGUCUGCUGUUAAAGAGCAAGGUCAACCUUGUAAAGGCAGUGGAAACUACAUAGCUAGAGUGCGUUCGGGGCAAGGGAAUUCCUGGUGUAGCGGUGAAAUGCGUAGAUAUCAGGAAGAACACCGUGGCGAAAGCGCUCUGCUAGGCCGCAACUGACACUGAGGGACGAAAGCUAGGGAGCGAAUGGGAUUAGAUACCCCAGUAGUCCUAGCCGUAAACGAUG
This 327-nucleotide ribosomal RNA is filed under the name uncultured Cylindrospermum sp. Its description in RNAcentral is "bacterial SSU rRNA". It matches the Rfam family "Bacterial small subunit ribosomal RNA", at positions 478 to 811 of the family's 1533-position model. The record is from RNAcentral. Lineage: Bacteria; Bacillati; Cyanobacteriota; Cyanophyceae; Nostocales; Nostocaceae.